Molecule: RNA transcript, 2254 nt
Organism: Cercocebus atys (sooty mangabey)
Lineage: Eukaryota; Metazoa; Chordata; Mammalia; Primates; Cercopithecidae
Gene: ARL3
Gene name: ADP-ribosylation factor-like 3
Exons: 4
Source: RefSeq, a predicted model, not a curated record
AAAAAAAAAAAGGAAAAAGAGAAAAAGGUAGUAUAUGGUUAUAUAUCAUAGAUUUAUAGAUUUUAACCUUCCCUCCCUCUCCCUUCUCAAAAUCCAGGAACUAGCGGAAUUAUUGGAGGAAGAAAAACUAAGUUGUGUGCCAGUGCUCAUCUUUGCUAAUAAGCAGGAUUUGCUCACAGCAGCUCCUGCCUCUGAAAUUGCAGAAGGACUGAACCUGCAUACCAUCCGCGACCGAGUCUGGCAGAUCCAGUCUUGCUCAGCUCUCACAGGAGAGGGCGUUCAGGGUGCUUCCCAGCUCCUCUAUAAGCUUGGGGCAGAGCCCUUCACCUGGCAGGUACCCACAUCCAUGGAGAACUGGGUUGCAGCGGCAGCGGCAGCCGCAGGGGCCCAGGCUGGGGGUCAGCUGGCAGGGACUGGCCUCCACGCGCCCUCUGUUGGCAGGACAGUGGCUGGAAGGACUUCACCACGGCUGGUCCUCACAGGCAUCUGGAGACACCAGACACUGCCCCUCAGCAGGGCUCUGCCGUUUGAACCCUCCUUUGCCUCCAUAACAGAGACCUGGUAUAAUACCACCCCGCACCCUCCACCUUCUGCUUUGGGCUCCUGCAGCUGAGUAAAUAUUUUUCCUAUCUCUUUGCCUGCAUUCAUGUUCAGUUACAUGCAAUAAUCUCUCCUUAAUCAGCCAUAAAGCAAGAAAAAGGCAAAGCGCUGUUCACAUAGUGUGGGCACACUGUCCUUGAUUUCUCUGAGAAGAUGGUUUGAUUGCGAGCCUCCAUAGAGGAGAGGUGCCCACCUUGGAGUGCUUGUGCAAGCCCCUGAAGGUGGAAAGUGCCGUGUAAGUGCCGAUCUAUUCAGCUUCCCAGGCGAGAGAAGAUGCGUAUCUUAUUCAUCCCUCUUUUAUUUGUAAAAUCUUUUUGUCUCUUGGCAGGUGAUCUUUUUUUUUCCUGGAAACCAAUUAGCUACUAAAAUUAAACAUGCUUCUCUUUAAAUUAAUCCUUUUCAUAAAAUGGUCUUAAAAUUGCCCUUAGCUUCUCAGAGUUAGUAGCUGACCCCGUUGUAAUUAGAGAUGCGUUUGGAUUCCCCCUUUCUCCCACCUCAGCAUUCCUCUGCCCUUCCCCCUGCUGCCGCCAGGUGCUGUCCACCUUCGGGCUUUCUGCACCGCGGCCUCAUCUUGGCAAAGGUCAGAGGUCGGCUCUGGGACAGCCGUCAGAUUAUCUGGUUCUGCUGCCCAAGUGCACUGACAGCAACUGGCGGAGUUGUAAUCACUGUAAAUUCAGGUGACGGUCAGAUGUGCUGGGGGAGAGGAUGCCUGCUGGUUGUUUUGCAGUGAUGUAUUGUUUAUGGGAUUAAUGUUCCGAAUGGCCAAGGGUGUCAGCUGAUAUUUAUUACUGUAAGCUGUCUCAGCUGUUCAGGUUCAGCAGCUAGAUCCAUGGCCACAGGAAAUGUGGGACUCGGUGGCGUGUCCAGUAUGGCUGAUGUAUGCAGAUGUAGCUGGGACCUCUGUGAGCCUCUGUUACGGAUGCAAGGGGAAGGACUCGUGCCAGCAGCUGCCUUGGAUUUUGUUCUGGGCUUCUGAGGAAACUCUACACGCUCUUGAAGGAUGGCAUGAACUGGGUCUGCAAAAAUGUCAAUGCAAAGAAGAAAUAAAAUCUAGACGAAUGGAGACGCAGGAGCUGCGGGAGCCGAAUUCGGUCCUGAAAAACACUAAUUUGCUGCUUUCUGACCAAAUGUUUUUCCAUCUGUGUACAGCUACAGCUGUUUGAAGAGAGGGAACAACACAGUUUAGAAAGAAUCCCCAUUCCAGCAGUAGAUUUAACUGAUCUCUGAGGUUCAGUAUCAUUUUUCAAAUAAAGGAAUUAUAUUAUUUCCUCUGCAUAAUUGAAAUAGUAUUAAAUGUCUCAAAGCACAUGAUUAGAAAAUGAGAUCUUUUAAAUGAGCAAGAGAUUGCAUUGCAGUUUAGACAAUUCCAGUGGGCUUUUUUUUCCUCUCGAAAAAAAAAGAAAAAAAGAGGAAGAAGCAGCUUUGCUGAGUUCAUUUAUUUACUGACCCGUCCCUUGCAUUCCCUCCAUGGUUUUGAAACCACAGACAGUGUUUGCUGCUGCUGUCAGUGAUUUUUACCAUCACCAGCCCAGCCAGGCUUCAGUCUGUCCCGCAGGAAGCUGCUGGGUGGGGGUGGGGGGAGAAAAGGCAGAUAAUUAAACUAUCCCAUCGUCUCGCAGGUCAGAGACUACGUAUGUAAUCCUCACUCUUUGGA